This is a long non-coding RNA of Impatiens glandulifera, 2731 nucleotides long. RefSeq lists it as uncharacterized. The transcript has 3 exons. NCBI's taxonomy places the organism in Eukaryota, Viridiplantae, Streptophyta, Magnoliopsida, Ericales, Balsaminaceae. The record is from RefSeq and is a predicted model, not a curated record.
UCGAUUCUAUGUUUGGACAUCUAGAUAUGAGAUUUUUACACUGAUUCUACGCUUUUGCUGCCCUAAUGUUCACUUUUAUGCUUCUUAAUUUCUUCCGACUGCUCGUUGCAUUGCAUUUGCUGAUGAAUCUUAUUCCUUCAACCAAAUAGAAAAUAACAGCUCCACACACAUUUGUUCUUCCAGAUAUUAUUAUAGAUCUGUCUAGUUCUUUCUAUUUCACAGAAAACCUAUCCGAUUCUGUAUUCUCUUGGAAAAUCCCCUUCAAAUAUCCAUAAUCUAGUGUAAAUUAACUUCUAGAACUACAUUGUCCAGGAAAUCUUGGAGCUGUAGUAUCAUCUAAAGGCUCCCAAGCUGUGAAAUCAAACCAAUUGAAGGUCCUUCCACUUCAGAUCUAAUGCUUUAAUUGGAGAGGGUUCAUAUGGAAGUAUAAAUUAUGGUCUACUUAAGAAUGAUGAGCAAGCAGCAACCAGACAAUGAGUUCUUAACUCAGGUUUCUAUACUACUGAUGCUGAAACAUGAAAACAAUCUUGAAUUGGUCACCCAAUAUGAAAGUGUAACUCAAUAUUGUAACAACUUCAGGAGGAGCCAUAUUGGGAUUUUCAGCAGCACCGGUUAUCCAUGAGGCAAACGAUUCCCUAACAGGUCAGGCAAAGUGAUCUUUCCCGAGUUAUUUGGAUCAAGUUUAUUGAAUUGCUCGCAUAUCUGUAUCACGUCUUUCUCCCUAAUCUUCCCCAGCUCUUUCAGCUUAUACACCACGUAUUCUGAUUGACUGUUCAAGAAACAGUAAAAUAAAAAUUAUACUAAAUUUUGGUUAGGAGAAAUUGAAGUCAUAGAAAUGCUAGAUUAUAACUAAAGUAGGAGUUGUCCUUAUCAAAUAAUAUGAUUGUUUCUUGAACUAGCUGAAGUGUGUUUAGAGACAAAGGUGACUAACACAAGCAGCCAAGAUUUCAAUCACAUUAGACAUUUACUGUUUUAAUUGUUCAAAUCUAGAAAACUCCAAUGGUUGAGAUAGGGGCAACACAUAAACCAUAUAAAGGAGAUAGCUUUAUACACAUUGUUUUAUAGCAUAUGUUAAUAGAAAGACAGAUCUAGGAGCUUGUCUGUUUGAAGAUUUUCUUCUUUUUUUUAAGAUUAUUUGAGUUAUUUAAUGAUUGUUUGAAGAUAUUUUAAUUAGGAAAGUAUGUAAAGACUAUUUUAUAUAAUAUUAUUAAGAAUAGAGAAUAUAAUAAUUGAUUAGGAAAGAGACCUGAUGAAACCAUUGUGAUUGAUAUCAGCAGCAAUGAGAUCAUGUACAGUAAUUUCUCUUUGUAAAACCCAUUUAGCAAUUCUCCUAUGCCUUUUGUCAACUCUAGCCUCAGCAAGGUAAAGAAAAGCUCUAGCCACAGCCAGGGUCGAGACCAGCAGCCAGAGUGCCGCAAAAAGCCUGCCGGAUAGUGUAUUGAAUGCCCUAUCUCCAUAUCCAACCGUUGUCACUGACAUUACAGAUAAGUAAAAAGAGUCCACCCAAUUCAAAUCCUCCACUUGUUUCAGAACCACCGCCCCUAACCCAAUACACAGCACCACCACCCCCAGCGCCAAACCCACCUGUCAAUUAUAUGUAAUAUUACUAAUUAGGGUUCGUUCUUACUUGAUAGUUGAUUCUACUACUACUAUUAAUACCUUUAGUCUGAUCCUCAUCCUCCCUUUCUCGACAUCCACAAUGUAAUUCCUGGGCGAGAAGCUUUUACCAGGGGUUCUGCCGGCUUUAAUUCCGGCGAUAAUCAUUGACUCUUGCCUAUCCAGGACGUAAUUCACGACCCCACUUAACAAAAUGUCGAUGAAUCCGAAACCCAGUAGAACGAAGACGCAUGCGAACACCUUGGUGGCUGGAGAAGAAGGAGCGAUAUCACCGUAGCCAAUUGUGCACAUGGUUACUAUGCAGAAGUAGAGUGCGUCGACGACAGGGUGAGUCUCGAUGCCGGAGAAGCUGCCGGAGUUGAAAGAGUAGACUAUUACGCCCAAGGAGAGGUAGACAAGAAGGAGAAUUGCUGCCUGACGAACGAGGGAGGAUAAUUCGGGUUGGGGUUUAGGGUCGUCAGCAGCGUGUUCAGAGGAGGGAUGGAGGUCGCGACCGACGACUGCCAUGGCGGGUGCUGUCCUGCAUCGUCGGAUCUUGUUGCGAGGGACAUUAGAGUGGUGGAGGAGGAGGAGGGUUGGGGAUUCCAAGGAAGAGGAUGAACGGAUUAAGGAUUGAGCUUCUUCUUCUUCUUCUUGUUCUUGGGAAUCGUUGUUGUUGUUGUGUUGUUGAUUGUCGAUAAUAUCGAGGAAGACGGAAGAAGGGAAAGGGUUGGGGCUGUUAGAGUGAGAUUGAGAGUGAGAAGAAGAAAAGGACGAAGAAGAUGAAGAAGAAGAAGAAGGUCUCCUGUCUGAAUCGGAGAGUAAAGAGGAAUUGAGAGAUUUGUGAAGUUGUUUUGUUGGUUUAGUUUCCAUGUGAAUGAAUUGCUGCUGACCAGACCAGUGUGUCUUAGGAAGAGAGUAUAUAAUAAAUAAUACUUUUUCAAAGCAUCAAAACAAAACAGAAAAGUGAGAAACGAUCGCGAUCGUCCGAUUGCUUCUGUUUCCCCCCUGCCAAAUAUGAUAAUAUACUUUUUAUUAUUAUUAUUAUUAUUAUUAUUAUAGACAAAUAUACCUCCUAAGAAUCUGGACCCACUUGUUUUGACUACAUCCAUGCCAUCCAUCCAUUAAUCCUUUA